AUGUUUGCUGCAAAUCUAUUGGUUAUAAGAUAUAACAGCCUUGUCUAAUUGGCUGAAUUCAAAUACAGAAAGUUUACCUGUUAGAUUGAAACAUGAAACAUGGUGGACAAUGUACUGGUUUAACUUGUUAAAAUAAAGUUAAAGAAAUUUAACAAACAAAAGAGUUCAUUAGUUUUUCCAUUAAAAACACUUUCUUAAAAUACUUAUGUAUUUAUAUCAUUUGGAAAGUGACAUGAAAUAUUGCUAAAGAGUGAUGCAUACAGUGUUUGAGCAGUCUGUCUAGGAAUAGAACAACAACUAAAGUUGAUGGAAGAUACUGCAGAGUUUGGCAGGGAAAUAAUCCAACAGCAAAGCGGCUCUUUAAGCGCAUUUACCUAGAGGACUUACAGGGCCACAAAUUCAUGAGCACAUGUGAGCAGUAUACAAUGUACCUCAUAUCAAAAAGACCCGGAGGCAGUGACUGGUGUUCAAUAUUCUCAGAAGAAAAGGAAAAUGGCAGUGGAAGACUUGGACAAACAUUUUUAAAAACUAGCCUCUGUGUUAAGCCUGGCAGUCUGUGGCUGGUGACAUGUUUUAUUUUGGUUACUUCCUGUAUAAAAAGGACCAGUUAUUUAUUUUGUGAAUUGUAUUUUGUGUUUGUUUUUUGUCUUAAUUUAUUUGUGUUUUUUUUAAUUUAGGAAUUUGAAACUUGGAUAAUUGAAUAAAGUCCGUGUUCAACAGUACUGAGCAUAGUAUAAUAAAUAACAAAUUUACAACAGUUGUUAAUUUGUUAUGUAUUAUUAUUAACUAUGCUCAGUACUUGAAUACUGGCUGUCUGCAUGGGAAUUUGUUUUCUAGAAAGUUGGUUUCAGACUUAAAUAUUUGAAGUUAACCUUCAGAACUUUUCUAGAAUUGUACUGGAACACAUCAACUAGAACUGAACUUCUGUUAUCAUACUGAAAGUGUUCUAGAAUUAAUAAGGAACAGUUGUUGAACGUUAAAAAUUAUGAGAAAAAACUCUAGAACAAUUGUGCGUGAUGUGUGUGUGCAUGUAAUUGUGUGUGUUUAUGAACAUAUGUGAGAAAGGAGGUAUACUUGUCAUAAGAGAAAUGUAAAAUUCUACUUCUAUGUUUUAUAUUGUGCCUUUUAUAAGUUUUUCUUUUCUCACCUGUAUAUGCAUGCAUGUUUAUGGAUGUGUUUUUGAAUGUGUGCAUGCAUGCAUGUGGUUAAGAGAGUUGGUACUUUAUGAAAAUGUAAAACCACUCAUUUUUGAAUAUGUACUGUGACUGCAUGUGUGUGGUUAAUGAUUGAUGCCAGAUCUUGUUCUUGUUUAACUUCUAUGAUGAAACCUUUAGUUACAUUCACAUUUGUUUUUCAAAAUCAAUAAAAUGCCUUUGAUCUAUAAUCUGUUUUUUUUUCUAUUUUAUUCCAGCUUUUUAUUAAAUUCCAUAGCUUUUCACGGAAUUCCACGGCAUUCUAUGGAAUUCCACGGCAUUCUAUGGAAUUCCACGGCAUUCUAUGGAAUUCCACUGCAUUCUAUGGAAUUCCACGGCGUUCUAUGGAAUUCCACGGCGUUCUAUGGAAUUCCACGGCAUUCUAUGGAAUUCCACGGCAUUCUAUGGAAUUCCACGGCAUUAUAUGGAAUGCCACGGAAUUCUAUGGAAUUCCACGGCAUUUUAUGGAAUUCCAUCCCAUAUCAAGUCCCCCUUCUGUUUUUUUUUCACUUUUCCAUUGAUUGCAUGGAAUCGGAUGGAAAGUUAGUGCCAAUACUCCACGGAAUUCCAUCUAACGAUUUCCAUAGAAUUCCAUAUGAUUCCACGGCAGAUCUACAGACGGGUAACUUAA
This is a long non-coding RNA of Dreissena polymorpha, 1824 nucleotides long. RefSeq lists it as uncharacterized. NCBI's taxonomy places the organism in Eukaryota, Metazoa, Mollusca, Bivalvia, Myida, Dreissenidae. The record is from RefSeq and is a predicted model, not a curated record. The transcript has 3 exons.